UCUUUGGUAUUCUAGCUGUA
RNAcentral lists this microRNA (20 nucleotides) under Drosophila ananassae. Its description in RNAcentral is "miR-9c-RA". RNAcentral also lists the same sequence under 3 other names. Lineage: Eukaryota; Metazoa; Arthropoda; Insecta; Diptera; Drosophilidae. The record is from RNAcentral.